GAUGAACGCUGGCGGCGUGCCUAAUACAUGCAAGUCGAACGGGGAGUAGCAAUACUCUUAGUGGCGAACGGGUGAGUAACGCGUUGGUACCUGCCCCGAAGCGGGGGAUAACGGACCGAAAGGUCCGCUAAUACCCCAUGUGCUCGGUAACGAGUAAAGGUGAAAACCACUUUGGGAGGGGCCUGCGUCCCAUCAGCUAGUUGGUAAGGUAACGGCUUACCAAGGCGAUGACGGGUAGGGGACCUGAGAGGGUGGCCCCCCACAAUGGAACUGAAACACGGUCCAUACACCUACGGGUGGCAGCAGUAGGGAAUAUUGGUAAUGGGCGCAAGCCUGAACCAGCAACGCCGCGUGUGAGAUGACGGCCUUCGGGUUGUAAAGCACUUUUGACUGGGACGAGGAAGGACGGUACCGGUCGAAUCAGCCUCGGCUAACUACGUG
This 441-nucleotide ribosomal RNA is filed under the name uncultured bacterium. RNAcentral describes it as "partial 16S ribosomal RNA". It matches the Rfam family "Bacterial small subunit ribosomal RNA", at positions 28 to 507 of the family's 1533-position model. The record is from RNAcentral.